RNAcentral lists this unclassified non-coding RNA (327 nucleotides) under soil metagenome. RNAcentral describes it as "partial contains 5.8S ribosomal RNA, internal transcribed spacer 2, and large subunit ribosomal RNA". The stretch from base 1 to 120 matches the Rfam family "5.8S ribosomal RNA", at positions 35 to 154 of the family's 154-position model. The record is from RNAcentral.
GAUGAAGAACGUAGCGAAAUGCGAUAAGUAAUGUGAAUUGCAGAAUUCAGUGAAUCAUCGAAUCUUUGAACGCACAUUGCGCCCCUUGGUAUUCCGGGGGGCAUGCCUGUUCGAGCGUCAUUUCAACCCUCAAGCUCAGCUUGGUAUUGAGUCCAUGUCAGUAAUGGCAGGCUCUAAAAUCAGUGGCGGCGCCGCUGGGUCCUGAACGUAGUAAUAUCUCUCGUUACAGGUUCUCGGUGUGCUUCUGCCAAAACCCAAAUUGUCUAUGGUUGACCUCGGAUCAGGUAGGGAUACCCGCUGAACUUAAGCAUAUCAAUAAGCGGAGGA